UAAGACGUAGGAGGCUAGCGUUAUCCGGAUUUACUGGGCGUAAAGAGGGCGUAGGCGGUCUGGCAAGUCGGAUGUAAAAUCUCUCGGCUUAACCGGGAGGGAUCAUUCGAUACUGCUGGGCUAGAGGGCAGCAGAGGGAGGUGGAAUUCCCGGUGGAGUGGUGAAAUGCGUAGAUAUCGGGAGGAACACCAGUGGCGAAGGCGACCUCCUGGGCUGUUACUGACGCUGAGGCCCGAAAGCGUGGGGAGCGAACAGGAUUAGAUACCCUGGUAGUCCACGCUGUAAACUAUGGACACUAGGUAUGGGGAGUACCGACCCUUUCCGUGCCGAAGCUAACGUGUUAAGUGUCCCGCCUGGGGACUACGGCCGCAAGGCUA
This 377-nucleotide ribosomal RNA is filed under the name uncultured bacterium. RNAcentral describes it as "bacterial SSU rRNA". It matches the Rfam family "Bacterial small subunit ribosomal RNA", at positions 521 to 896 of the family's 1533-position model. The record is from RNAcentral.